UACGUAGGGUGCGAGCGUUGUCCGGAAUUACUGGGCGUAAAGAGCUUGUAGGUGGUUUGUCGCGUUGUUCGUGAAAUCUCACGGCUCAACUGUGAGCGUGCGGGCGAUACGGGCAGACUAGAGUACUGCAGGGGAGACUGGAAUUCCUGGUGUAGCGGUGAAAUGCGCAGAUAUCAGGAGGAACACCGGUGGCGAAGGCGGGACUCUGGGCCGAUACUGACGCUGAGGAGCGAAAGCGUGGGGAGCAAACAGG
This 253-nucleotide ribosomal RNA is filed under the name uncultured bacterium. Its description in RNAcentral is "partial 16S ribosomal RNA". It matches the Rfam family "Bacterial small subunit ribosomal RNA", at positions 524 to 776 of the family's 1533-position model. The record is from RNAcentral.